This 419-nucleotide ribosomal RNA is filed under the name bacterium. RNAcentral's name for it is "partial 16S ribosomal RNA". It matches the Rfam family "Bacterial small subunit ribosomal RNA", at positions 355 to 776 of the family's 1533-position model. The record is from RNAcentral.
UGGGGGAUAUUGCACAAUGGGCGAAAGCCUGAUGCAGCGACGCCGCGUGGGGGAUGAAGGCCUUCGGGUUGUAAACUUCUUUUGCUCUGAACAAGGCGCACCAUGGGGUUUGUUGAGUGUAGGGGUUGAUUAGCGCCGGCUAACUACGUGCCAGCAGCCGCGGUAAUACGUAGGGCGGGAGCGUUGUCCGGAAUUAUUGGGCGUAAAGGGCUUGUAGGUGGCUGGUUGCGUCUGUCGUGAAAGCUCAUGGCUUAACUGUGGGUUUGCGGUUGGGACGGGCUGGCUUGAGUGCAGUAGGGGGGGCUGGAAUUCCUGGUGUAGCGGUGGAAUGCGCAGAUAUCAGGAGGAAUACCUGUGGCGAAGGCGGGUCUCUGGGCUGUUACUGACACUGAGGAGCGAAAGCAUGGGGAGCGAACAGG